GUUCCGCCGCGGCCCUACGCCGGCCCGUCUCCCCUUUCCGAGAGAGAAGACUCUCUCGGCCGACCCGACUCGACCCCGCGGCCGAAAUAAAGCAAGCGACCGACGCAGCGCCAGUGAACCCCACCACCGUCUCUUCUCUUCUCAGUUCGCACGUCUCACCGCGCGUUUCUCUUCUGCCCCCGCUCCACGCCAGGCAAACCCGAAGCCCCCACCACACGACGCCGCCCGCCGUCCCCUCCUCUGGAAUCGGGCGGGGGAAGAAGUGUUCAGGACUGGCGGCAUGGACCGCAUCGUCGGCCGCAAGUUCAAGCUCGGCCGGAAGAUCGGCUCCGGCUCCUUCGGGGUCAUCUACCUCGCCACGGAUAUGGACACCUACGAGAUCGUCGCGGUGAAGAUUGAAAGUAGCAGCUCAAAGCACCCCCAGCUGUUUUAUGAGGCAAAGAUCUACAACGCCCUGCAAGGAGGAAGUGGCAUUGCGAAUGUUAAAUGGUGUGGUGUAGAUGGGGAGGAAAAUGUUCUUAUCAUUGAUCUGUUGGGGCCGAGCUUAGAGAAUUUGUUUGUCUACUGCGGCAGAAAAUUCACCUUGAAGACUGUCCUAAUGCUUGCAGACCAAAUGCUUACAAGGAUAGAAUUUAUGCAUUCCAAAGGAUACUUGCAUAGAGACAUAAAACCUGACAAUUUUCUAAUGGGUCUCGGCCGGAAGGCAAAUCAGGUCUAUGUAAUUGAUUUUGGGCUUGCAAAAAGAUACCGGGAUUCUACUACGAAUCGACAUAUUCCUUACAGGGAACAUAAGAACUUAACUGGCACUGCACGUUAUGCAAGUAGCAACACUCACCUUGGAAUUGAGCAAAGUCGACGGGAUGAUUUGGAAUCUCUUGGCUAUGUUCUCCUAUAUUUUCUCCGAGGAAGUCUCCCCUGGCAGGGACUAAAAGCUGCAACGAAAAAGCAGAAGUAUGAGAAGAUAUGUGAGAAAAAGAUUUCGACACCUAUCGAGGUGUUAUGCAAAUCCUGUCCGGUAGAAUUUGCAUCUUACUUCCACUACUGCAAGUCGUUGACAUUUGAUCAGCGGCCUGAUUAUGGAUUCGUGAAGCGCCUUUUUCGAGACUUAUUCGACCGCCAAGGUUAUGAUUUUGAUUAUGUCUUUGACUGGACUGUUUUGAAAUAUAAACAAGGCCAAAAGACCCAGCAUGUUCCUGGGGCAACUAUUGCUCGAGCAAUCCCAGCACAUCUUGACAAACGAGCGGGUGUAAAUGGGGAUGUCCAUCCAAAUGAAGCCCAUGAACAGAUGGAGUCAAGCCAUAUGACCGGGUCAGCUGCACAGUUACAGAGGCAAAAUAUGGCUGCCAGUGCCAGAAAUGAAAACCCGAAGAAUGAUGGGAAUUCAAGACAUGUAGUGUGUAUCGACGCUUUUCAUCAAAAUCAGGGUUUUGACAGCAAUACUGGCUCUCCUAGCGCUUGUUUUCCGACACUUCCGCACAAUGCCCCAGCAAGGUGAUAGGUCGCCUCUCUUGUGGAGCUAGAAAUGUGGAAAUGCUCAACUAGACUCCAUUUCUUUUAGAGUGGUCAGAUUCAAGAAUCACAAAAUCAAUUCAAACAUCCUGAUGCCUAAUGCAUGUUACAAGGAUGGCUACAGAUCCGAUUGAUUAUGCAAGGUUUGAUCACUGCUGUUGUUGGAUGCUCCAGCAUUUUCUGUGACUGUUGCUUCAGACAUUUUGUUCUCACAGUCGCGGAGGACAUGUAAAUAGUUCAUAUGUCAGAUAAAUGGCAUGGAUAUUAUGCAAUAGUGAUGAUGUCGGGUGUAAAUAGUUCAUAUGGUUAGAUAAAUGGCAUGGACAUUGAGCAAUAGUGAUGUUGUCGGCUCAUUCAGCAUCUGAUAGCUAUCCAAUAUACAUGUGGUGAUAAGGUUAUUCAUGAAAUUUGCAUCAUGAUCUGAAAUAUUUUCAGCAUUGGGUAUUGAAGAUGCCUGAGAACAUAGUACUAGUGCAGUAGGCUAAUCUCAAGUUAAUUGUUUCUGCAUGGAGAUUGGCAGAGGGUUUUCAGUAGGUUAUUAAUUACUGAAGUUUUUACGUCACAUAUUUACUUUAGUAAUCACAUGUUGGGUUGCUCGUAGAUAUAUAAUUCAACUAUCUUUGAAUGUUUGUCGAUUAAAAACUUGAGAUGCUACAUUAUAGAGUUCUAGUGGGUCUAUUUUCCUUUUUUGUUAAAAUAAUGGCGCCUCUCUGUCGUAAAUAAGCAUUUAUUUUAUAUGGCAAGUUCUGUAAUUAAAUAACUUCUUAUGAGCAUAUCAUCCUUUAGUUUACUUGGCCUUGAUCUGUCUGCUAUAGUUUCCGAUAAAUAUGUAGAUUUUUUUUAAAGUGUUUUUGCCUGGGAUUUCCAUUUUAAUAUCCUACCUAUGUGAAAUAUGUUAAAGAAUACUUGUCGGCAAUGCUGCAGAAUUUUUGGCUAGCUUUAUAAAGCGGGGGAAAUGCAGAAUAAUUAAACCAAAAUCUCUUAUGUGGUUCACCAAAGUUGAGCGUUUUGUCCAGCCAAGUGCUGCCUCCACUGCCAGCACUUGUAUGCUUUGUUACACGAACGGCAAUGAUGCAACAUCUGCUUUAUGGAAUCUUCCAUUUUUAUUCUGCGGAAAAGAAGAAGAGGAAGAGGAACACACACUUUUUGUCAGGUGUAUGCAUCACCGAUUCACCGCCACAUAAUCAAGUGUAGAGGUCUCACUUAGCGUGCGCACGUGUUAUCAUACCAGAACAGCAUGUAUCUUGCUCAUGUUAACUCGGUACGUGGUAACAUUUCGUGUUGCAUUGUUUUGUUUCAGUACCAACUCGAUGGCAAAGUGUCUGCAUGACAGGUUUUUGUCUUACGUCACUCCAUGUCACAGAGCACUGAAUGGACUGGACUUGGCGUCAUAAUUUGUUGAUCACCAUGAAAUAAAAGAUGUUGCAAAAAACAAAAAAGAUGUUGUUUGCUUGGAGCUUUGAAGAGGCUUUAGCUUGGGCGAGAACAAUUAGUCUGUCCCUGCACGGCCAGAUUAGGCAAUGAUGGAACGCAAAGCACAGCAUUCCGUAGUGGAUCGCAUCAUAGCCGAGCAACCCUAUCGCUUGUCACAAGACGUUCUGCACCAUCCUUUUUCCGUAGUUGGCAUCUCUUCGUGAAACAUUUGCUGCCUUAUUGUAGUAUACUAAUUUUUCAUCCUUUCGUUGUGUUUUCAAAGUUAUUUCUGGUUAAUUAUACUUUGGGGUUCAUGCAAGCAUUAUUUGCUAGAGUACACAUAAACCAGACAUAACGUGAUAAGCUACGAAACUAGCGUAAUUUUGUUGAUUCCUGCAUGAGUGCAUAUGUUCUUGUUUGAUGUUGUGGGCGCGCAUGCGUGCUGGAAGCCCGUUGUUGUUCUUGUUUCUAGUUAAGCCAUGUUAUUCAGUACUGAAAUCUGACCAUUACUUGUUCUAAUUACUGUAUAUGUUAGCAUAGUCACAAUAAACACUGGUUUGAAUCUUCAACUUGGACGCAUAACAGGGGCUUUAUCUAGAAAGGAUUCCGCAGUUGGUUCUCUCCAUUCGAGGGGCCGAAUGCUUUCGCACGGACGGCGGAAAACCCGGGCUGCAGGUGGAAUCAUUUUCUCUGACCAGCAAAGGUCUUUUUCUUAAGCACCCAAUCAUGAGCCUUCUUUCAAUUAUUUCCUGGGACUUGGAGCAUUAAGAAACAAUCCCCAGACAAUGCAGGCAGGAGGUAAAGCUCCAACUCUCGCAUGUUUGCUGAAAAGCUACAAGUGCUGUUCAGGUUAAAGUUGGUAGUAAAUCAAAUACUAGCAUAGGUUCUAGUCGAAAGUUGAAACGUGCAAUGCCAAACCCAAACAUUUCUGUUCCUCAAGUUGCAGGCACUCCUAUCAUCCCAUAUACAGAUCUACUUGCCUCGAUAUCAUGGAGACUAGCCGAACUCUGUUCUCUCUGUUGCCGCCAACGGUUUUUGGAUAAUACACACGUAAGGAUAGAUACCAUCACCCGAUUAUAGAUCCUUUCUAAAGAGGCACACUACGUCGAUGAUUCAAUCCCUUCUCGUUUAACCAUGUUUCUUUUGUAUGCAAUAUAGCAUGAUCAGUGCAAAUUUUCAGACGAAACCUCACCUCUGUGUAGAUUGGGCAUGUAGCAUGGAGUUUGCUGUUAAUCCCAGUCCCUAGAUUAGUAUGGUGAGAGAGGUUCAGGUGGCAGAUCAUGAUAACAUAACUUAUCAUCAAGAUCAGAAACGCUCUUCCCGCCAUGUUUCUCAUCAAAAUGUUGGGAGUUAGACCCGAGUAUCUCUCCUAUAUUUUCAUGCCUACGAACCAAAUAGAUGGCUAUAUAACCAACAACCCCCAAAUCCUCUUUCGUUUCUCAAGCAAAUAAGAUGUGGCUUUUACACAAAUUACUAGAAGUCCAUGGGUCAGGUGAAGUCCAUGGGUCAGGGGUUUUUUACCACGAAAUCUGUUUAUGAGUGGUUAGAAAAAGAUUUGUCAGGACCUGACUACAAGUUGAUCUGGAAAGCUAGGAUUCCUUUGAAAAUUAAAAUCUUCCUCUGGCAGCUGUUUCAGAAUGCCAUCCCUACUAGGGACAACUUGCGGAAAAGGAACUGGCCCGGGAACCCAACAUGUUCAUUUUGCCAUGAUAUUGAAUCUGCGGAUCAUCUUUUCUUUGGGUGUGUGUUUGCUCGGUCUGUUUGGGGGGCGAUUGGGUCAGCCCUGGGAGCAUCCUGCACUCCUAAAACCAUUUGGCAAAGUUGGGCAUGGCUCUAUAAAUAUCUUCCUGGUGGUAAAAAGCAUUACAUGACUAUUGUUGCUGCUGUCUGUUGGGGCAUUUGGUGCACUCGUAACAGGGUAACGUUUGACAAAUGUAUCAUUCGCUCCCCGUUGGAGGCUGUUUUCACUGCAUGCUCUUUUUUGAUGUAUUGGUCAGGUCUGCUGAAAGGGAUCGACAAGGAAAACGUCCAGGCUGGAGUGCAGAAGAUGGUGCGCGCGGCUGCUUCGUUGGCGGAUCGUUCUGCUACCAGGGGGAGGCUCAUGCUGGGAAAUGGUGCUUGAAGUUGUUCUGCCCAGUAGACUUAGAAGUUUGUGAUCUCACUGGGGUUUGAUGCCCGCUGAGAUGUUCGGUGGUUCCUUUUGGUGGUGGUGUCCCGUACUUGGCUUCCUGGUUUCGUGGGAUGUUCGUUUCGUGCUGUUCGCUUUGAGGAUGGGAUGGUUGGUGUCAACAGGUUUUUGCCCCGUGGUGGAUGACUCAUUUUAGAGUCAUUUGUUGCGGGUUUCCUGUUGAUGCUCCAACUCGCUCUCCCCUUUCGGUCUCCUUUUGCUUAGUCGUUUUCUAGUAGCCCAAUGGGCGAUGGCUGUAAAAACUACUGAGAC
RNAcentral lists this ribosomal RNA (5362 nucleotides) under Triticum aestivum (bread wheat). RNAcentral's name for it is "partial small subunit ribosomal RNA". The record is from RNAcentral. Lineage: Eukaryota; Viridiplantae; Streptophyta; Magnoliopsida; Poales; Poaceae.